RNAcentral lists this transfer RNA (74 nucleotides) under Tuber melanosporum (Perigord truffle). RNAcentral's name for it is "tRNA-Val (AAC) (tRNA-Val-AAC-2-1)". RNAcentral also lists the same sequence under 1 other name. Lineage: Eukaryota; Fungi; Ascomycota; Pezizomycetes; Pezizales; Tuberaceae. The record is from RNAcentral.
GGUUUUGUGGUGUAGUUGGUUAUCACACCAGUCUAACACACUGGUGGUCCCCGGUUCGAGCCCGGGCCAAAUCA